AUGCACAAAGCAAAAUUAAUGAGUAGAGGAAGCCCCGAGGCGGAGCUAGACGUGGCUACCAUGUUUGUGCUGCAGGAACACACCACAUGUAGUACUCCAACAUCAUCUGUUCACCGCCCCUCCAUAGUUUUGUCCCUUCAGGAAGCCGGUGCUCUUGGUAGAAAGAAGAAGUCCCGUGAAGACAGUCACCAUGUGGCUGCUCAUGUGACAGGGCAACACCUCUACACAUCGCCAUUGAAUCGGGACAUGCAUGUCCUCCUGCUUCAGGAAGAAUGCCUGCCAUUGUCCGGAGGCAACCAUCACGCUGUCUUUGACGUUGUACAAACAGAUAGAGUCCGAGGACCAGAGCAUGUUGGAACAGUGCUGAAGGCUGUGUCGUGGAAGUCCACGGGUCCACACCACACCCUGUUGGUAGCGAUUUGUGUUUGA
RNAcentral lists this ribosomal RNA (429 nucleotides) under Triticum aestivum (bread wheat). RNAcentral describes it as "partial small subunit ribosomal RNA". The record is from RNAcentral. Lineage: Eukaryota; Viridiplantae; Streptophyta; Magnoliopsida; Poales; Poaceae.